Molecule: ribosomal RNA, 533 nt
Filed under: uncultured bacterium
Lineage: Bacteria
Description: bacterial SSU rRNA
Rfam family: Bacterial small subunit ribosomal RNA
Source: RNAcentral
AAUAGAUACCCUGGUAGUCCACGCCGUAAACGAUGAGUGCUAAGUGUUAGAGGGUUUCCGCCCUUUAUUGCUGCAGCUAACGCAUUAAGCACUCCGCCUGGGGAGUACGGUCGCAAGACUGAAACUCAAAGGAAUUGACGGGGGCCCGCACAAGCGGUGGAGCAUGUGGUUUAAUUCGAAGCAACGCGAAGAACCUUACCAGGUCUUGACAUCCUUUGCCGCUUCUAGAGAUAGAAGGUUCCCCUUCGGGGGACAAAGUGACAGGUGGUGCAUGGUUGUCGUCAGCUCGUGUCGUGAGAUGUUGGGUUAAGUCCCGCAACGAGCGCAACCCUUGAUCUUAGUUGCCAGCAUUCAGUUGGGCACUCUAAGGUGACUGCCGGUGACAAACCGGAGGAAGGUGGGGAUGACGUCAAAUCAUCAUGCCCCUUAUGACCUGGGCUACACACGUGCUACAAUGGAUGGUACAAAGGGCUGCGAGACCGCGAGGUUUAGCCAAUCCCAUAAAACCAUUCUCAGUUCGGAUUGCAGGCUGA